GAGUUUGAUCGUGGCUCAGAUUGAACGCUGGCGGCAUGCCUUACACAUGCAAGUCGAGCGGCAGCGCGGGGGCAACCCUGGCGGCGAGCGGCGGACGGGUGAGUAAUACAUCGGAACGUGUCCUUUCGUGGGGGAUAACCAGUCGAAAGACUGGCUAAUACCGCAUGAGAUCUCACGAUGAAAGCGGGGGACCGCAAGGCCUCGCGCGAUUGGAGCGGCCGAUGUCGGAUUAGCUAGUUGGCGGGGUAAAAGCCCACCAAGGCGACGAUCCGUAGCUGGUUUGAGAGAACGACCAGCCACACUGGGACUGAGACACGGCCCAGACUCCUACGGGAGGCAGCAGUGGGGAAUUUUGGACAAUGGGGGCAACCCUGAUCCAGCCAUGCCGCGUGUGUGAAGAAGGCC
This 405-nucleotide ribosomal RNA is filed under the name uncultured beta proteobacterium. RNAcentral describes it as "bacterial SSU rRNA". It matches the Rfam family "Bacterial small subunit ribosomal RNA", at positions 9 to 416 of the family's 1533-position model. Lineage: Bacteria; Pseudomonadati; Pseudomonadota; Betaproteobacteria. The record is from RNAcentral.